RNAcentral lists this ribosomal RNA (2479 nucleotides) under Escherichia coli. RNAcentral's name for it is "bacterial LSU rRNA". It matches the Rfam family "Bacterial large subunit ribosomal RNA", at positions 468 to 2925 of the family's 2925-position model. Lineage: Bacteria; Pseudomonadati; Pseudomonadota; Gammaproteobacteria; Enterobacterales; Enterobacteriaceae. The record is from RNAcentral.
AAAUACUCCUGACUGACCGAUAGUGAACCAGUACCGUGAGGGAAAGGCGAAAAGAACCCCGGCGAGGGGAGUGAAAAAGAACCUGAAACCGUGUACGUACAAGCAGUGGGAGCACAGAGCAAUCUGUGUGACUGCGUACCUUUUGUAUAAUGGGUCAGCGACUUAUAUUCUGUAGCAAGGUUAACCGAAUAGGGGAGCCGAAGGGAAACCGAGUCUUAACUGGGCGUUAAGUUGCAGGGUAUAGACCCGAAACCCGGUGAUCUAGCCAUGGGCAGGUUGAAGGUUGGGUAACACUAACUGGAGGACCGAACCGACUAAUGUUGAAAAAUUAGCGGAUGACUUGUGGCUGGGGGUGAAAGGCCAAUCAAACCGGGAGAUAGCUGGUUCUCCCCGAAAGCUAUUUAGGUAGCGCCUCGUGAAUUCAUCUCCGGGGGUAGAGCACUGUUUCGGCAAGGGGGUCAUCCCGACUUACCAACCCGAUGCAAACUGCGAAUACCGGAGAAUGUUAUCACGGGAGACACACGGCGGGUGCUAACGUCCGUCGUGAAGAGGGAAACAACCCAGACCGCCAGCUAAGGUCCCAAAGUCAUGGUUAAGUGGGAAACGAUGUGGGAAGGCCCAGACAGCCAGGAUGUUGGCUUAGAAGCAGCCAUCAUUUAAAGAAAGCGUAAUAGCUCACUGGUCGAGUCGGCCUGCGCGGAAGAUGUAACGGGGCUAAACCAUGCACCGAAGCUGCGGCAGCGACGCUGAUGCGUUGUUGGGUAGGGGAGCGUUCUGUAAGCCUGUGAAGGUGUACUGUGAGGUAUGCUGGAGGUAUCAGAAGUGCGAAUGCUGACAUAAGUAACGAUAAAGCGGGUGAAAAGCCCGCUCGCCGGAAGACCAAGGGUUCCUGUCCAACGUUAAUCGGGGCAGGGUGAGUCGACCCCUAAGGCGAGGCCGAAAGGCGUAGUCGAUGGGAAACAGGUUAAUAUUCCUGUACUUGGUGUUACUGCGAAGGGGGGACGGAGAAGGCUAUGUUGGCCGGGCGACGGUUGUCCCGGUUUAAGCGUGUAGGCUGGUUUUCCAGGCAAAUCCGGAAAACUAAGGCUGAGGCGUGAUGACGAGGCACUACGGUGCUGAAGCAACAAAUGCCCUGCUUCCAGGAAAAGCCUCUAAGCAUCAGGUAACAUCAAAUCGUACCCCAAACCGACACAGGUGGUCAGGUAGAGAAUACCAAGGCGCUUGAGAGAACUCGGGUGAAGGAACUAGGCAAAAUGGUGCCGUAACUUCGGGAGAAGGCACGCUGAUAUGUAGGUGAAGUCCCUCGCGGAUGGAGCUGAAAUCAGUCGAAGAUACCAGCUGGCUGCAACUGUUUAUUAAAAACACAGCACUGUGCAAACACGAAAGUGGACGUAUACGGUGUGACGCCUGCCCGGUGCCGGAAGGUUAAUUGAUGGGGUUAGCGCAAGCGAAGCUCUUGAUCGAAGCCCCGGUAAACGGCGGCCGUAACUAUAACGGUCCUAAGGUAGCGAAAUUCCUUGUCGGGUAAGUUCCGACCUGCACGAAUGGCGUAAUGAUGGCCAGGCUGUCUCCACCCGAGACUCAGUGAAAUUGAACUCGCUGUGAAGAUGCAGUGUACCCGCGGCAAGACGGAAAGACCCCGUGAACCUUUACUAUAGCUUGACACUGAACAUUGAGCCUUGAUGUGUAGGAUAGGUGGGAGGCUUUGAAGUGUGGACGCCAGUCUGCAUGGAGCCGACCUUGAAAUACCACCCUUUAAUGUUUGAUGUUCUAACGUUGACCCGUAAUCCGGGUUGCGGACAGUGUCUGGUGGGUAGUUUGACUGGGGCGGUCUCCUCCUAAAGAGUAACGGAGGAGCACGAAGGUUGGCUAAUCCUGGUCGGACAUCAGGAGGUUAGUGCAAUGGCAUAAGCCAGCUUGACUGCGAGCGUGACGGCGCGAGCAGGUGCGAAAGCAGGUCAUAGUGAUCCGGUGGUUCUGAAUGGAAGGGCCAUCGCUCAACGGAUAAAAGGUACUCCGGGGAUAACAGGCUGAUACCGCCCAAGAGUUCAUAUCGACGGCGGUGUUUGGCACCUCGAUGUCGGCUCAUCACAUCCUGGGGCUGAAGUAGGUCCCAAGGGUAUGGCUGUUCGCCAUUUAAAGUGGUACGCGAGCUGGGUUUAGAACGUCGUGAGACAGUUCGGUCCCUAUCUGCCGUGGGCGCUGGAGAAUUGAGGGGGGCUGCUCCUAGUACGAGAGGACCGGAGUGGACGCAUCACUGGUGUUCGGGUUGUCAUGCCAAUGGCACUGCCCGGUAGCUAAAUGCGGAAGAGAUAAGUGCUGAAAGCAUCUAAGCACGAAACUUGCCCCGAGAUGAGUUCUCCCUGACUCCUUGAGAGUCCUGAAGGAACGUUGAAGACGACGACGUUGAUAGGCCGGGUGUGUAAGCGCAGCGAUGCGUUGAGCUAACCGGUACUAAUGAACCGUGAGGCUUAACCUU